AAGUCGUAACAAGGUUUCCGUAGGUGAACCUGCGGAAGGAUCAUUAUUGAAUGAAUGUAGAGUCGGUUGUAGCUGGCCUCCUUUGGGGAGCAUGUGCACACCUUCUCUUUCAUCCACACACCCCUGUGCACCUGUGAGACAGAGACUUUUUUGCUCCUUUAAUCAGGACAGUAGUUUCUGUCUGCUUCACAUAAAACCAUAUUAUUAAAUUUUGAAUGUAAUUUGAUGUAACGCAUCUAAUACAAAGUUUCAACAACGGAUCUCUUGGCUCUCGCAUCGAUGAAGAACGCAGCGAAAUGCGAUAAGUAAUGUGAAUUGCAGAAUUCAGUGAAUCAUCGAAUCUUUGAACGCACCUUGCGCUCCUUGGUAUUCCUCGGAGCACGCCUGUUUGAGUAUCAUGAAAUUCUCAAAACAAGUCUUUUGUUAAUUCAAUAGGCCUUUGUUUUGGACUUGGAGGUCUGCAGAUUCACAUCUGCUCCUCUUAAAUAAAUUAGCUGGAUCUCCAUGAACUUGGUUCCACUCGGCGUGAUAAGUAUCACUCGCUGAGGACACCCGUAAAAAGGUGGCCAGGCUUGAGGAUGAGCCGCUUCUAACAGUCCAUUUAAUUGGACAAAUUAAUUUAUGAUCUGAUCUCAAAUCAGGUGGGACUACCCGCUGAACUUAA
RNAcentral lists this ribosomal RNA (664 nucleotides) under vouchered mycorrhizae (Basidiomycota). RNAcentral's name for it is "eukaryotic LSU rRNA". The stretch from base 245 to 398 matches the Rfam family "5.8S ribosomal RNA". The record is from RNAcentral. Lineage: Eukaryota; Fungi; Basidiomycota.